This 494-nucleotide ribosomal RNA is filed under the name uncultured bacterium. Its description in RNAcentral is "partial 16S ribosomal RNA". It matches the Rfam family "Bacterial small subunit ribosomal RNA", at positions 28 to 507 of the family's 1533-position model. The record is from RNAcentral.
GACGAACGCUGGCGGCGUGCUUAACACAUGCAAGUCGAACGGUGAAGCGCCUUCCUUUUUGGUGGGUGUGGAUGAGUGGCGAACGGGUGAGUAACACGUGAGUAACCUGCCCCCUUCUUCUGGAUAACCGCAUGAAAGUGUGGCUAAUACGGGAUAUUCUGGGUCUGUCGCAUGAUGGGUCUGGGAAAGAUAUUGUUUCGGUGGGGGAUGGGCUCGCGGCCUAUCAGCUUGUUGGUGGGGUGAUGGCCUACCAAGGCGGUGACGGGUAGCCGGCCUGAGAGGGUGGACGGUCACACUGGGACUGAGACACGGCCGAGACUCCUACGGGAGGCAGCAGUGGGGAAUAGUGCACAAUGGGCGCAAGCCUGAUGCAGCGACGCCGCGUGAGGGAUGGAGGCCUUCGGGUUGUGAACCUCUUUCGCCAGUGAAGCAGGCCUGCCUCGUUUGUGGGUGGGUUGACGGUAGCUGGAUAAGAAGCGCCGGCUAACUACGUG